This 221-nucleotide long non-coding RNA is filed under the name Pan troglodytes (chimpanzee). Its description in RNAcentral is "long non-coding RNA NONPTRT010015". The record is from RNAcentral. Lineage: Eukaryota; Metazoa; Chordata; Mammalia; Primates; Hominidae.
UAUCUUGUCAUUUACCCUAUUUGCAACUCUCCUUUUCUCAGUAACUCGGGGUGCAUAUCAUAUUAAAGGGAGGGCAGCCAUCUGCCCCUUCAUCUUAAAGAAGCAUAUGUGGCUCUGGAUAUUUUUUGAAAAGAAAAACUGCUUGGCUCACUGCAACCUCCACCUUCCAGGUUCAAGUGAUUCGCCUGCCUCAGCCUCCCAAGUAGCUGGGAUUACAGGCG